This 452-nucleotide unclassified non-coding RNA is filed under the name Hevea brasiliensis (rubber tree). The record is from RNAcentral. Lineage: Eukaryota; Viridiplantae; Streptophyta; Magnoliopsida; Malpighiales; Euphorbiaceae.
UGGGUUUCUUCGGAAUGAGCAAGUGAUCACUGCAAAUCAAGAAAUUGAUGGCUAAGCAUAAAGCAACCUCAAAAACUAACAAGUUCAUACACGAUACUGUUUUUUUCUAAUGUACAAGUUUGGAAUUCACAAUUAGAACAGCCUCAAAUAACCAAAGCGGCAUUCAUAUAUAAGAAAAUGAACACAAGCUAAUCAGAACCCUUAUUUUCCAGAUUCGGAACUCUCAAGAAUCACAAGAACAAAAUCAGAAAAAAGUCGAAAUGAUAAGAAAAAACAUAUAAAGUUACAGUUCAACUAAUCAUCACUGGAACCUACAAGUAAUGAAUACAUGCAAAUCAUAAACCCAAAGUUUUAAGAUUUAGAGCUUUUACGAUUCAUUAACUAUAAGCAAAAGUUCUUUUUUUUUUUUAAAUGAUCUGACACAAUAGAAAGAGACUAAUAAGAUUAAAGAA